AACCCCCCGAUAUCUGCUUGAAACUUGGCGGAAUCUUCAGAUAUCAGGGGGUCCAAAAGCAGGCUCAGAGCCUGUGAAGGAUUAUAACGCAUGCACCAUAUAAAACAACACCCGGCCGCC
Molecule: non-coding RNA, 120 nt
Filed under: Atlantibacter hermannii
Lineage: Bacteria; Pseudomonadati; Pseudomonadota; Gammaproteobacteria; Enterobacterales; Enterobacteriaceae
Description: Pseudoknot of the regulatory region of the repBA gene
Rfam family: Pseudoknot of the regulatory region of the repBA gene
Source: RNAcentral